GACAGAGGGUGCAAACGUUGUUCGGAAUUACUGGGCGUAAAGCGCGUGUAGGUGGCGAGGCAAGUCGGGUGUGAAAGCCCUGGGCUCAACCCAGGAAGUGCACUCGAUACUGCCUAGCUAGAGUCCCGGAGAGGUUGGUGGAACUCUCGGUGUAGAGGUGAAAUUCGUAGAUAUCGAGAAGAACACCGGUGGCGAAGGCGGCCAACUGGACGGUGACUGACACUGAGACGCGAAAGCGUGGGGAGCGAACAGG
This 253-nucleotide ribosomal RNA is filed under the name uncultured bacterium. Its description in RNAcentral is "partial 16S ribosomal RNA". It matches the Rfam family "Bacterial small subunit ribosomal RNA", at positions 524 to 776 of the family's 1533-position model. The record is from RNAcentral.